CAGCAGGGCAGUGAGUGUAGCAGAGCGGCAGCUCACGGAGUUCAGAGCCCCUUGCCUGUGGAGCCCUUCCUCUCUCUGUGGCCCAGAUGAUGUGUCCAAGAGCCCAGGCUGAGGACAGACUCUCCCGGGCUGAAGUCAGAAUCACCUCUGGCCUGCGAUGCCUAACAUCUUCCUCCUGGCUUGGCUCACCGCCUGGCUCCCUCCCUGGAAGGAAUUCUCCUACGCCCCUUACAGGUAACCACUGUCAGGCAGCCCAAGCAGCAUCAGAGGUCUGAACCCCGACAGAGGAGGAAAGAGAUGCAGCCCCAGCUAAGCCUACUGUGGCUCCUUCAUCGGAUGCAGAAUGGGGGGCGUCUAGCUUUGACUGCUUUCUUCUCAGGCAGAAUCUUUGCAGAAUGACCAUUUUUUUCUGGCCAUCUGGUGCUUCCUUCUCAACCCAGGAGGGCUAUAUUGGUCUGAAGAAGAAAAGCGAGAAGGAGCUCCGUGGGCUGGCAGGCCAGGUGGGAAAUGACUGUGCGUGCUCCCUGAGCCGGAGGAGACGCGGCUCCCCUGCCCACUCAGGGAGCGGGGCCCAAAAGCAGAGGGAGGUCAACGGCGAAAACUUCCCUGUCCUUGGCCCUCCACAGUCUCCUGAUUAAAACAUUCAGGUGUACUGCAGUUGAAAACAGAGUUGGAAAAACACCUCGGGGCUUCAAUCUGCUCAGUAUGAGGAUGACAGGGGCUUACACGGAAAUGUUUUCUCUUCACUUGCAUUCAGCGCCUGGAGGAAGAGCGGAGAGGCGGCUGCCGGCCCCAUCCCAGGCCCCUUCGCCCCCAGCCCCAGGCUGUGUUGAGAGGCGCCACAGGCUCCACCAGCAGCAGGGUGGCUGACGAAACGCCCAGCUAUUUAGACAAACAAGUGUUCAGGGCGAAGGCAGCCUCCCUCCCUCGGCAGCCCCAGCCCUCCCUUCCUGCCAGAGUCGGGGCUGAUUCCCUCGGAUGAUGCUAAUGAACAGCUCAUAAGUACUAACAAGCUCCUUGGCACCCGGAAGCCAGGCAGAGUAACUUCCAACGUGAAUUUGGGCCACGUCUAGACCCCAGCGCAGUUUCAGGAUUUUCAAUUGAUGAGUCUGCGUGGCACAAGACGUGAGAGGGGGCUCUCCGCGGCUCCCAGAAAGUGGGCUCCUUACGGCCACAUUGGGCCCCUCGCAGACCCGUUUCUAGGUCGUGAGACUUCCCCCCGACAGACAGGCACGAGCCCUGAAACCGUCCCUGAGACCCGGAAUGCGGAGCUGGUUCCAGAAAGUCCAAGAUGGCUUCUUGGUCUCAGAGAACAUUUACGUGGGGAUGGGAAGCAAGGAUCACGAAGACGUCCCUACCCAGCCCCUGCCCCGCCCCCGGCUAAAGCUGCCUGUCAGUGGGUGCAAUCCUCUGAACUGUGCUCGGGCCUUCGGCGGACUGAGAAGACUUCAUUAUGGAUGCGUAAGGUUAAUUCGACCUAUUUCCCUGAGCACUGUUGUGUUUUCAUGAGGAAACUUCUCUCAGGAGAGAGCUGGAUGAAAUAACACCUCUGUCCUCCUCUCCUACUCCCGCCGCGGGGGCCACAUGCCUCUUUCCCAGGUGCCAGGCCCCAGGCAAUAUUCCGGCUCAGAGCUCCACCUUCAGCACCUGACAGCGGGCCCAGCUCCAAGCUUCUUUCGUCUCAAAGUACCACAUAGCUCUUAAUCAAACAUCCCUAUGUGGGGGCUCCUGAUCCCUGAACUUAACGUUGACUCUCCAGUACAACAGGUAAAGUAGCUCGAGAAAAUGGGGUGUGACUAUGCCUAAGCUAUUGGUUCUUGGCAGCUUUGGAUGAUCAGAUCCACCCGCCAGUGUGCUAGGCUUGCCAAGGCCCCAUCCUAAGAUUAUUCCUGGGCUCGGUUUCGUCCUAGCUGUGUAGAGGAUUUACUCCUUGUAAGGCGUAUUUUGAUUCUCAGAGCACCACAAGACAAUGUGGCUCCCUUAUCCUGAGCAGUCAGUCAAGAACCAUCUGGUCAGCCUGCACCAUGAACACAGACCUGAUGGAGCUGUCAAGGAUCCAAAAGAUGUAAGAUAUUGGGGCUUGCUCUGAGUUUUCCCCCUUGUUAGGGAACCAGUACUCACACAGCAGUGACUGUUAAGGUCACUGUUAAGUUGGCACCUGCUGGCUGUCGCACACGAUAGUUAGAUGAACAUGGGCUCUGGAGUCAGACAGCGGGUAUGCAUCCUUGCUCCCUCUCCCAGCAGCGUGACUGUGGGCGGGCUGCUCCAUCCCUCACCCACUCGUCCGCCUCUCUGGGCAUGUUAGGAGGGUAAAUGGGAUGGCCUGCGCUCCACACAGUGCCUGGCACACAGGAAAUAUUCGGUACCUUCAGCUAUUGUUACUUUUCUGCAGCUCAACUGUGUGUCCUUUGUGGACAGAGGCUGAUUUUCACAGCUGUUAUCUCCCGCAGGGCCUUUCAUAUAUAUAAUAUAAUACAUGCCCGAGAGUGCGUUGAUCUACCUGGGGGAAUGUGUGACACGAGGAGAGAAGAGUUCUAUUGUGUAGGACAAUUUUCUUCAGGAAAGAAAAAGUGGGUGAAUUAAUGAAAUGGUACAGAUUUUGAAAAAGUCACUUUGUCCAAUAAAAGUAUUUUCACCUGCACAUAUUCAUAUUGUAAAAUAAUGAACCAAGAUUUCUGUACAUAUAGCUCAUCCUGGGAUGUUUAAAUGGGGAUAACAGACAGAAGCUGAAACAAGCACAGUAAGCUACACAUAAUCUCGAGAAAUGCACCACAAAUUUGUAGCUUGUUCAGAUGAACAUCACAAUGGGUCUUGAGGGGAGCACGAGAAUGAAAUUUUCAAAAAAUAAACUUCUCCCUUAGUCCACACUGUCAAUCACUGCCAAGGCCUGACUCUUGGCAGACAAAAUGGUCCUGACGGACCGAUCCCUGCCUGGGCCACUGUUCAGUGAUGCCUGGGCGGACCAUGGCAAAGUGAGUGAGUGAUCUGUGUCACUCUACCUCAGCCCCACAGCACGACUUGGAUUACCAAGUGGGCUAAGCCAAGACGAGGCCCCUUCUGCUCUAACAUUCCUUUACGUCUCUCUUGCUGUUAUAUAAUGGAAGAAGGGCCGGAUGCGGACUCAGGAGGUGGCCUGUGAAGGGGUUCGGAACAGACCUCCCCAAGAGGUGCACUUUGCCAUGUGGAAUAGUUUGAACUGAAGGCAAUUGAGACCCUGUGGGUCUUUACCUCUCCCUUUCUACCUCUCCCUUAAAGAAUUUAAGCUAGAGGCCUCACCCAGAAUAAGAGUUAUUAUCAGAAAUAACUUUUUAUGACCUAUCUAUACGGCAGGGCGAAACCUCUAACUGCUGAACCUUUGCUCUUCUUAUCAUCCUGUGAACUACCCUCCUCCCCUCUGAAGCCUCAGGCCCCUAUCCCAUUACUUAGCUCAUCAUGGCAUAAAUACUUCAUUUACAUUUCUUUCUCUGAAUCUCUCAUGCAUGUGAGGUUCCUGUAUGUGCAAAGUUAAAUUUGAUUGUCUUCUGUUAAUCUGUCUCAUGGCAAUUUAAUUCUUAGACCAGCCAGAAGAACCUAGAAGGGUAGAGGAAAAAUAUCUUCCUUCCCACACCUACAUUCAUAUUCCAGCCCUGCCACUCACUAGCUGAGCGACCUUGGUUGACGCACUCAACCUCUCUGAGCCUCAUUCAAAAAGGCCAUAAAUCUAUAGAUUUAUAGGUGGGAACAUCUGUAUAUAUAAAAUGAAGGGAACUGGGCCAGGUAGUCUGUGAGGCCAUUUCUAGCUCUAAAUCCUGACCUCCCGUGAGAUGUGAAAGAAUGAGAUUAGAGGGAGGCAGCACGGCUGAGGGCAUGCAGGGUGGGUAGGUGCUGGAGCCCAGGGUUCUUUCAGAGACCACAGCCACAUUCCUUUUGCACCACCCCCAGGAUGUACACACAAAGCCACAUACCAUAGUCCCACCUCUAGGUGUGGAUGGCAAAUAUUCAUUUGAAUCACUUAAUGACUUAGUAUUUGCUGAGGACCUUCUGCAGAACAAGGGGCUGAGGGGCUGUGCUGCGAGGGGUACAAAAGGCGGGCACAUCAAAACCCCUGCCCUGGGGAAGGUCAGGGUCCAAACGCCAGCUUUGUCUGCAGCAGACUGUGUGGCUUUGCGGACACCAUAACCUCUCUAAGUCUAUUUCCUCAUCUGUGAAACAAGGAAAAUCAAUCCUAUGUUGCUUGCUAUAAGAAUUAGAGAUAAUAUAGGUAAAGCUUGUUGGAUUGUUUCCAGGAUUGGAUUGUUGUAAAGAUAGAUGUUAUAUGUCCAGCUCCUGGCACAGCGCCCAGCACCUGUAAUUACUAUAAUUACCAUUAAUAUACUCUUAUCAUUGUUGUCAGUAUGGCUAGCAUUAAUCAUGCUUUUGGAAGAGAGGACACCUGAAGGGGGAGUGGGGCUCAGUGACUGGCAGGUGAGUUUCGAUCCAAGAGCUCUUUGCUUCCCUAAGGCCUGGCCUACGUGCAUCACACCUCCACUUGUGUUCCUACGAAGCCACUCAUGUGUCUGUCAUUCAUUCCCCAGAACUCUCAGACCCACCCUUCCAGAAGGCUUUCUAACAGGAAAUAUAACUGUUAUUAGAUUUUUUUUUUUAAAGUUAAAAUCAAGUUCAGCGCUCAUACAUUUUUUUGGGCGUUAACUGUAAACCUCUCCUGUUCUUUGAAAAAACAAACCUGGAUCUCUGUGCCGAUCCAGAGGGAGGCUUUGUUGUCGGAAGUUCAGUCUGGGGAAUCUGCAGCCUCUGCCCUUCUAGGAGGCUGAUGCAGGCCAGGGCCAUGCUGCUGCCCCCCACCAGGAAUGUAAGAAAUCCCUUUGAUCUCUAAAGAAUCUAGAUUAACCGGCCUUCUUGGUGGGCAAGGAGACGGCUGUAAAUUCUAGCAUUCAUUCAAAGGCUUUCAAAUUCUUGUUUCUUAAAGCUAUUCCAUUAAUUAAUUCCAUUCACAUCACCACCAUUUUUUUUGCUUUUUUCCUGUGCUCUUAUUUUUCUCUGAAACCACAGCAAUGUCUGGGGGGGUUGAUAAAUUCGUAAUCAUGGGAAAGAGUUUUACUUCUUUGGCCUCGCCUCUCCUCUCCCCUACUGUCUCUCUCCCACAAAAGCUGUAUUUUCUCAAGUUUCUCUUCUUUCUGCUGGGAUGCUCAUCAUCAGAAUUACAAUGUAUUAAGUACUGUGGAGGAUCAGAUUUACUGCCCCGAAAUGUGUCUCUUUGGCUUGAUUAUUUUUAAGGACAAAAGACUCAGGAAGAACAUUUGACCUUCUCCCAAAUUGCCUAAAAGAAUUUAGGAUAGAAGGGCCUGUCCCAGGAAGGAGGUAUCACCAUAGAUCAUUCUAGGCGUGGUAGAAAGGAAGGCAUCCAGUAAGGGCCAUUUCAUCAAAAGAUCUCUUUCGGGUCCGUUGUCUAUAGAUGGCCCAGGAAACACUUGUUUACUCCCAUCCCCAUGUAAAUGGUCUUCCUCCCCUUUGAAGUCCCUAACCACUACCUCCCACAUCCUCCUUUGUCUUUAGCUGAAGAUGGUAUUUAAGGUGGUGACUUCAGCCAUUUUGGCAAGUUCCUCAGUUUUCCUGGGUUUCUCCCCAGUAUGCAUGUUAUUAAACUUUACUUUUCUC
This 5634-nucleotide long non-coding RNA is filed under the name Equus caballus (horse). RNAcentral's name for it is "lncRNA (ENSECAG00000052526.1)". The record is from RNAcentral. Lineage: Eukaryota; Metazoa; Chordata; Mammalia; Perissodactyla; Equidae.